AAAAAAAAAAAAAAAGAGUUGGGAUGCAGGUCAGUAGCGUUGAGGACAAAGUUUUCCCUCCCUUCUUUUCCCCUCCCUCCCUUCCUCCUUCUGUUUCUUCUCUCCCUCCCUGGCUUUCAGCAUUGUUAAUCAUUCCCCAGCUGCUAGCAUCUGCAGGCUGAGCCGGCAGAGAAGUGUGAGCCUUAUCCUGUGCCGGAGCCAGGGGCCCCAACUCCAAGAAAAAGAGAGUGUAACCCGGCAGCCCUUCUGGAAUGUCCUGCCAAGUCUCAGAGGGUGAGUUAAGCACCACCCUUGGCCUAGAGGUCAGAUCAAAGUUGGGAGUCACCAAAUCUCAAGGAUCCAACAGGAAAGUGAGUGAAUGGGGGUUUCACAGGGACAUUCUAGACUCUAGACUGAGGGGGGGGGGGAAGGCAGUUGUAUACUCCCCUUCUCCCCACCCAGUUCUGAGGUACUUCUCUUCAGCCUAAAUGGAAGGGAAACAUGGGUUCUGCCCAGAAGCCAGGGAGAGCAAACCGGAGUGGAGGAACAAACAUAUACAGUUCCCCUGCCCUUGGGAGCAGGCUCCCACCAGCCCCAGGGGAGAGGCUGCAAGCUGAAGUAAACAAGUUCCAGAGAAGGGAGCAAAACUCCAGGCAGUAUUCCAGGAACUCUGUCAGAUGUGAGGGGUGCCUGGAGGCCUUGUCCUGGCUGCCCAGAUGCUGGGUGGGGGCUUUCCAAAAGCCCUGGAAAUUCUGAGCGUCUACGGAGGCCCCAGGUGCAGGGCUGAGCCUGCGCAGAAAACUCUUCCACGUUAGAGCCAAUGAGGAUGCGCAGUGCAACCCUGGCCAAGGUCCGGACUCCCCAGCUGGGGAUGUCUGGGAAAGUAGACUGCCCAGAGAGCAGAACACGGGGUCCACGGGUGUGCUUUUGACAGCCAGAAGUGGGGGUGGAGUGCGGUGUUUUCCAUGGCAAAAGAUGGAUGCUAGUCCAGGUCCUUGGGCACUGCCAAGUUCCCUGCAACCUCAACAGUACUCCUUGAGGUCCUAUUGGGUGGGUCAAUCCACAGUCAUUGAAUUAGCUUACGCAAUCAGCCCCAGGUAAUGGAAGGCAGCAUGGUUCUGGGCAAUAAAGCCCAGUAGUGUGAGCCGAGGGUCACUUGCUUUGUUUCUGCCUUGUUGCAAAAGUCCUCCAAAGUGCAGAUAAAUCAGAUGCUGAAAUCUGUGAUGGCAGACACAGAUCCCCACCCACCCAGUUCAGACCUUUGACUACGAUAUACGACUAUAGCCGGCAACCGUCACAUGCUGCGGAAGCUGCUGCCUAAUCCCAGCACCCCAACCCCAAAGCCUCCACUCAGCACAGGACCCUCGGUACACAUGAGCAUCUUGUUUCUCUAACGCCAGCAGGGAUGGAGGUAACAAGACUGUCCUCCCAGCCCAGUUCUAAUUUCAGCAACCCUUCAGGCUGACAGUGGCGUCUGGAGAAUUCAGGACCUGCCUGGGCUACAGGAUGAGACCCUAUCCCAAACCGGAAACCAACAAAUAAAAACAAAAUCUCCACCUUAGGAGAUGAGAGGUGAGUGGUGGAACAGGAUGCCAACGGGACAGCUUCAUCUCACAGACCUAGCCCUUCUUGUCCCACUACAGUGGCCUCUAGUCAGGACAGGAAGAAGCCUCCCUAGAGCAAGGUGUCGAAGGAAGCAGGCAACUAGAUGCCCUGAUCUAGAGGAAACUGGUUUGAAUCCCUCCUACAACGCCUCUCACCUCAGUGUUCUAGGUGUGUCUAAGAAGGCCCUGCUUGUCCAGCUCCUAUGAGGAAGGGCACUGGGUGAGGCCAGUGGUGAGGCCUGAUGCCAGGUGGUUCACAACUAGGUUCAGGUCCCCUUUAGGGCAAAGGCUGGCCUGAACCAGGGACCUCUCUCAGUCCCACAAAGCAAGGAUGUGAGUUAGCCUGUGAGCAGGAGGGAAUCCAGCUGUGUGGGAACAAGCCUUUCCCACACCAGCAUGAGCGGGUGGGGGUAUUUAGCCUCUGGGAACAAACAGAAGGAUCCAGAAGGGAGGGACCCUAGAUACAGACACCCCAAAGAUGGAACUUGAAGUAAUCUUUCUUGGAAGCAUGGUGGCUGGGGUCACUCUGAGUAGCAUAUUUCUGGCUGUCCUAAGACUCACUUUGUAGCCGAGUUUUUGGCCUUAGAACCUACAGAGAUCCUUCAGCCUCAGCUGGAAGGCUGGGUUUAAAGCCACAACACUUGCUCCAUAACUGUUUCCAAAAGAAAGUAAUCUAUAGGUGUGGUGAGGGUGGUGCCGAGACCAGUCCGGACCCAACCAGUCCGGACCCACAGGGCUGAGCCCUACCACCCUGCUCCGAAGGACAGUUCUGGACUUUUGUGUAUCUGGGUGUCCUUGGCCUCCAGCUGCCUCCUGCAGGCUGUUGGGAGAAUGACCAGGAUCGCCUCUCUACCUUGUACAGAUACCUACUUAAUGCUGGGCUCUUUUCUUUGCAAAGACACUUUCCUCAAGGUGGUCCGCAGCCUGGAAGCUGCCCCGUGAGCCUCCCUAAGGAGAAACAGCAUUGGGGGUAAAAAAA
Molecule: small RNA, 2562 nt
Filed under: Rattus norvegicus (Norway rat)
Lineage: Eukaryota; Metazoa; Chordata; Mammalia; Rodentia; Muridae
Description: uncharacterized LOC102548729
Source: RNAcentral